CCCCCUACUUCUCUCUGUUGCCUCUCAAAUCUCAACGCCAUCUCUAUCGCCGUUACAACUUGUGGUCGCCGUCGUCGUCCUAUUCUUCCAUUUAUUCAGUUGCGUAGAACUCCACAACUUGUUAGGAAUUGCCUAUCAGCUUGCUUCUCCUUUGCAUCAUCAAGUGAAAUCUGAUUGCAUCUAUCUUUCGAAGUGUGUUCAAUUAGGUUUGAUCAAUAUCAUAAUUUUAACACUGUAAGGACUCGGUGCCGAAAUCAUCGGUCUACACUCUACAGCAUUGUUUUCAUCAUCGAAAAUACUGAUUUUCUCGAAGCCAAAGUUCAUCUCAAACUGGAGGUCGUGUCGUUGGAGGUAGUAUUGAUUGAGCUUUCUUCCUGUCUUUCUUCUGCAGCUGCUGCUGGACUUCUGUUGUCCAUUUUGGAUACUCUCUGUAUGUUGUAUGCUUCCUUCCAAUUUUUGUGUUUCCUUGCUAUUUUUUUCCCUGCUGUUGCAUGUGUGCCUCAAUUUUGGCAUCUUGGCUUUUGUGAGCUUAGAAACCAUUAAUUGCUUUGUCAUGUCUAUAGUUAUUAUGCUUCCUUCUGAAUUUUGUCAUACUGUUGUUUGUAUUCUCUCAUUGUUCUUCAUUUUUCU
Tripterygium wilfordii is the source of this 630-nucleotide long non-coding RNA. RefSeq lists it as uncharacterized. The transcript is spliced from 3 exons. Lineage: Eukaryota; Viridiplantae; Streptophyta; Magnoliopsida; Celastrales; Celastraceae. The record is from RefSeq and is a predicted model, not a curated record.